RNAcentral lists this unclassified non-coding RNA (199 nucleotides) under uncultured Entoloma. RNAcentral describes it as "sequence contains ITS2". The record is from RNAcentral. Lineage: Eukaryota; Fungi; Basidiomycota; Agaricomycetes; Agaricales; Entolomataceae.
AAUUCUCAACCUUCCUAGCUUGUGAAAGCUAGUCAGGCUUGGAUUAUGGAAGCAUUGCUGGCUUUCGAAGUCGGCUCUUCUGAAAUGCAUUAGCAAAAUCAUUGCUGCUCAUCAUUGAUAUGAUAAUUAUCUAUAUCAUUGAGGAGUUCAGUUUGUCCUAUUUUGCUUUCUAACCGUCUGAUUAAAGACAACUUGACAA